GGACCCGCACAAGCAGCGGAGCAUGUGGUUUAAUUCGAAGAUACGCGAAGAACCUUACCAAGACUUGACAUCCUGUUGAAAGCCUAUUUAAUUUUAGGCCCCCUUCGGGCAACAGUGACAGAUGGUGCAUGGUUGUCGUCAGCUCGUGUCGUGAGAUGUUGGGUUAAGUCCCGCAACGAGCGCAACCCUUACUGUUAGUUGGCAGCACAUUAUGGUGGCAACUCUAGCAGGACUGCCCGGGAUAACCGGGAGGAAGGUGAGGAUGACGUCAAAUCAUCAUGCCUCUUACGUCUUGGGCUACACACGUGCUACAAUGGUGACUACAAUAGGAAACGAUCUCGCGAGGGGGAGUAAAUCAAUAAAAAGUCAUCUCAGUUCGAACAGCAGGCUGAAACUCGCCUGCUCGAAGUCGGAGUUGCUAGUAAUCGUAAAUCAGAAUGUUA
RNAcentral lists this ribosomal RNA (443 nucleotides) under uncultured Bacillota bacterium. RNAcentral describes it as "bacterial SSU rRNA". It matches the Rfam family "Bacterial small subunit ribosomal RNA", at positions 917 to 1359 of the family's 1533-position model. The record is from RNAcentral. Lineage: Bacteria; Bacillati; Bacillota.